GAUGAACGCUAGCGAUAGGCUUAACACAUGCAAGUCGAGGGGCAGCAUGGUCUUAGCUUGCUAAGACUGAUGGCGACCGGCGCACGGGUGCGUAACGCGUAUGCAACUUGCCUCACAGAGGGGGAUAACCCGUCGAAAGACGGACUAAUACCGCGUACACUCCAUCUUGGGCAUCCAAGGUAGAGGAAAUGAAAUUCGCUGUGAGAUAGGCAUGCGUCCCAUUAGCUAGUUGGUGAGGUAACGGCUAACCAAGGCGACGAUGGGUAGGGGAACUGAGAGGUUGAACCCCCACACUGGUACUGAGACACGGACCAGACUACUACGGGAGGCAGCAGUGAGGAAUAUUGAUCAAUGGGCGAGAGCCUGAACCAGCCAAGUCGCGUGAAGGAUGACUGUCUUAUGGAUUGUAAACUUCUUUGAUACGGGAAUAACAAGAGUCACGUGUGACUCCCUGCAUGUACCGUAUGAAUAAGCAUCGGCUAACUCCGUG
RNAcentral lists this ribosomal RNA (490 nucleotides) under uncultured bacterium. RNAcentral describes it as "partial 16S ribosomal RNA". It matches the Rfam family "Bacterial small subunit ribosomal RNA", at positions 28 to 507 of the family's 1533-position model. The record is from RNAcentral.